CUGAAAUAAGAUAUAUUCUUUAUUUAACCAAUCAUGAACCUUUCCGAAUUUGAAAUUCAUAUGAGAUCAUAUGAUACAAAUUAAUGCUUACAAUAACUUUUUUAAGACAAUAGUUUAAUAAAAUAAAGAAUUAUAGAACAAUGGAUAGUCAGUGCAUGUACACGAGGGAAAUGUUAAAAAGAGAGAAAAUCAAAAAUUAAGUAAGCUCUGUAAUACUUGAACUAUAUGAAAAAACAAAAUACAAAACAAAGGUGAAAAUCAAAAACCUAAAAAUUAAACGUCUACAAGUGUGCUCACUACCCGUUCCUUGAUAAUUAGCUUUUAAACUGACUACAAUUAAAAAUAAAAGAAGAAAAAAAACAAUUGUAAACAACAACCUUUCUACACUCCCCAUGAU
Molecule: long non-coding RNA, 397 nt
Filed under: Mytilus galloprovincialis (Mediterranean mussel)
Lineage: Eukaryota; Metazoa; Mollusca; Bivalvia; Mytilida; Mytilidae
Source: RNAcentral